Molecule: ribosomal RNA, 253 nt
Filed under: uncultured Thiomonas sp.
Lineage: Bacteria; Pseudomonadati; Pseudomonadota; Betaproteobacteria; Burkholderiales
Description: partial 16S ribosomal RNA
Rfam family: Bacterial small subunit ribosomal RNA
Source: RNAcentral
UACGUAGGGUGCGAGCGUUAAUCGGAAUUACUGGGCGUAAAGCGUGCGCAGGCGGUUGGGAAAGAUCGAUGUGAAAUCCCCGGGCUCAACCUGGGAAUGGCAUGGAUGACUAUCCGACUGGAGUACGGCAGAGGGGAGUGGAAUUCCGCGUGUAGCAGUGAAAUGCGUAGAUAUGCGGAGGAACACCGAUGGCGAAGGCAGCUCCCUGGGCCUGUACUGACGCUCAUGCACGAAAGCGUGGGGAGCAAACAGG